RNAcentral lists this long non-coding RNA (324 nucleotides) under Capra hircus (goat). RNAcentral describes it as "lncRNA (ENSCHIG00000002775.1)". Lineage: Eukaryota; Metazoa; Chordata; Mammalia; Artiodactyla; Bovidae. The record is from RNAcentral.
AUUUCCCCUCCCUCAACUCUUUGGUCUACUUCUCCUUUAUCUCCACAGAUGGAAGGUAGAUGAACUACAGUGAAGAGGAGAUGGAUAAGUUCUUCAAAGGAGGGACUUAUGUCUUAAAUUUCUUUGUAAACUCCAUUGCUUCGUACCAUGCCUGACAGAUUUAGGUACUCAGAGAGUGUUGGUUAAAGGUUGAAUGAAUGGGCUGAGCAAUGCAUAAGUGGAGGAUGGAUCAACUGGACAGUGUAGAGAUGGAAGAAAAGGAAUGUCAUUUGCUAUACUCAGAACAUGUCCUGUGCUGGUGUUUUCACAGGUGAUCAUAGCCAA